GUCUGCACGCUCUCUGAGAGGCGUUAUAUGCUGCUACAUGCUGUGGCAAAUGGCAUUUAGACCAGGACUUUCUAAAACGCAAAGAAAACGCGUGGAUUUGUUACGCUGUCAGUACCUGCGGGCAUGCCAUCAGCCUGGACAACAACCAGAAUUUCCCACAGGACCAGAGCUGGUGAAGGACGCGAGGGAGAGCAGCUGCCUCGUGUGGGGUGGGUCAGGAGAGCUGGGACGCUUCGUCGGAAACUUUCUUGGCAUUUCUUGACAGAGGAGAAAGCAAGGAGAGUCUCACUGCCUAAGAGUGAAGUCAAUUGAGGCCGGCAAAACAAAUUCUCUUCCUUCAGAUAAGAGAGUUGCACUGAAGUCUUAGUCCUGAAGUUACACCAUCCCCUAACCACUUCCAUGCAUGCUGAAAAAUCAUUUGGGGCUCCCUCCGGAUGAAGUGUUUGACUCCAGCUGCCAACCCCAGCUGAACUUCAGAAAAAGAGGGAAGUACAUCGGCUAGCUGCGGGGAUGCAGAACCAAGUGAUGUGCAGGCUCCUGUGUGAUUCCCGCUUAUGCCACUGGAGGGGCUGAAGCAACCAAGCUUGUCUUCCUUCGUUUUUUGCUUUAAAUUUGCCCUGUAUCCCACCAGCAUCAGCAGAGAAGCUAGAGAUAGAGAUGAUCACACAGACGAGCUUGUCCUCUCUCUUUCACUGACUUUUAUCUUCUGUUCAAAGAGUUGCGUAGCU
Molecule: long non-coding RNA, 728 nt
Organism: Oxyura jamaicensis (ruddy duck)
Lineage: Eukaryota; Metazoa; Chordata; Aves; Anseriformes; Anatidae
Exons: 3
Source: RefSeq, a predicted model, not a curated record